CCUACGGGAGGCUGCAGUGAGGAAUAUUGGUCAAUGGGCGCGAGCCUGAACCAGCCAAGUCGCGUGAGGGAAGACGGUCCUAUGGAUUGUAAACCUCUUUUGUCGGGGAGCAAAAGACGCCACGCGUGGCGUUCCGAGAGUACCCGAAGAAAAAGCAUCGGCUAACUCCGUGCCAGCAGCCGCGGUAAUACGGAGGAUGCGAGCGUUAUCGGGAUUUAUUGGGUUUAAAGGGUGCGCAGGCGGAAGAUCAAGUCAGCGGGAAAAUUGAGAGGCUCAACCUCUUCGAGCCGUUGAAAAUGGUUGUCUGGAGUGAGGGAGAAGUAGGCGGAAUGCGUGGUGUAGCGGUGAAAUGCAUAGAUAGCACGCAGAACUCCGAUUGCGAAGGCAGCAUACCGGCGCUCAACUGACGCUCAUGCACGAAAGUGUGGGUAUCGAACAGGAUUAGAUACCCUUGUAGUC
Molecule: ribosomal RNA, 459 nt
Filed under: uncultured bacterium
Lineage: Bacteria
Description: partial 16S ribosomal RNA
Rfam family: Bacterial small subunit ribosomal RNA
Source: RNAcentral